Molecule: long non-coding RNA, 1184 nt
Organism: Erpetoichthys calabaricus (reedfish)
Lineage: Eukaryota; Metazoa; Chordata; Cladistia; Polypteriformes; Polypteridae
Exons: 2
Source: RefSeq, a predicted model, not a curated record
UAUAACAAUGACUGCCAUGUGUUGUCUCUCUGCUGACUUUCCUGUCUUAAGUUUUGUUCCUGUCUGCUGCACUCGAGUUUCUCUUUGCCAUAAUAAAGUCCACCUCACCUCACCCAAAUUAAAUUAAAAAUACUAAUAAAUAUGAAGGAGGAUAACGAUGAUGAUGUCACAUUUUCCAAGGAAGUCACCUGACUUGUUUAAGUUUCCACAGAAAAACCCUCCCUUUGAAUUAACCAAUGAGCACACAGCAUUUAAAACAAACAGAGGAGCAGCUGGCCAAUAAAAGCAGGAGGACUGAGACAGCAAGUCAUUCAUCUGUGCCUCCUUCUUUCAGUGUGUGAGCAGCACCGGUGGUCUUCUCUCCAGCAGUUCCCCAAAUCUCUUCUUCCCAAGUGCAGACGAACAUCAGUACACUGACCAUGAGCAGCAUAACUCUGUACAAAGGCGAAUGCUUAACUGGUGAGAAGAAAAUAUUCCUCGCUGAUAUUUCUGACCUUUCUACAGUGGCCUUUGACAAGCAAAUGGCCUCCUUGAAAGUUGAAGGGCAGCCCUGGGUGUCUUAUAAACAGGCUCAAUUUAAAGGAGAUGAAUUUAUCUACAAAAAUGAAAGUUAUCGCACAAUCUCAGAUAAAGAGAGAUUUUCAUCGAUGAAGCUUAUCAAAGACACCAGUGCCCCGCAUAUCACGUUGUAUCAGGAAACCAACUUUAAGGGGGAGCCCGCCAAAUUGACUGAGUACACCGUAUUGCCCUUGGGGUACAAAAUCGCCUCUUAUCGAGUGUGCAGUGGAGCCUGGUGUCUCUAUGAGCUCCCAAACAUGGCUGGAAUGAUGCAUGUGGCCUUAAAAGGUGAAGAAGUGCCCGACUGUCGCAGCAUUGCCUUUCAAAGAUACCCUGAGUCUCUGGAGCCAGUGAAGCAAUGUUGUUAGAAAGGCAGCACAUGAGAACGGGUCUCACCAGCAUGGACCCCCUGAAGUAACUGCAAGUGGUCACCUCCAGGCUAACGGGCAACAUGGAAGAUAUGAGAGCUUUGCACAUUUUUUUCUGUCUUUAAAUGGCCAUAUUAUGUCUCUUUAUUAAUUUUACUUUUAUAAAUCUUGUACACUCGCUUUCUUUAACUGAAUGAUAAUCAGACAAAUUUAAACUGUAAUGGCUAAACUAACAAUGAUAAAGUUUUCUUGAUGAAA